CGCAACAUAAUGUAGCAAAGAUGGCCACAUAAAUGUGAAGUAUAUAACGGUAUUUAUGCAACUUCAGCGUUUACUUAAUGUAUUUAUGUAACCCGCGAGUAAGUAACAUUUCAGGGACGCUUUUCCAUGAAAAUAUAUUUAAAGGCUUUUAUAACAUGUUAACUCUUACUUGCAAACUACAACAUAUAGUAAGAAAUGCGCUUUCAAUUAAAACGCUUCGCCUUACGGAUACUAUAGGGUCAUCGAGGGCUGGUCGAGAAUUCACAUGUUCAGCAAGCCGGUUACAACUACAGAACGAGCAGGGGAUGAAUGCAAAUGUUUUGUCUGGGAAGGUGCACAGAUUCGGCAGAUAUCAGCGAAUUAGUAUUUAGUAAUUUACUACGAGACUCUUUGGCUCAGUGGGGGACAGAGGGCCGGGUGGCAGUAUGGCUUCAUGUGCCUAUCUCUUUCAGCCGUUGUGCCGCAGCUGCCUCUGCUCAUGGCUUCACCUUCCACCACGCCAAACAGGACCGCUCAAUUCUGUCUCUGUGGCUGGGGGAUGGGCAGAGCAGGCUGCCCGGGUUUGCUACUCAUCACAUUGGAGUGGCAGGUGGCAUGCUGUUUCCUUUAUACCUCCCCCAAAGUGGAUGCAAGCAUGUCAGAACAUGUCUGUGGAAAGAGGAUGGCCAAAACCUGGUCCACAUGGUCUGAUGGCAUGUUGCCAACGGUAACUUGCGGGACCCCACCAUCAUGACUGUAAGUGUUUUUAGGACUGUUAUGUGUUGGAGUACACACCAACACAACACACUGGGUAAUUUGUGUUAUUAAAUCAUUUAGUUUACAUCAUAUCAUCAUCCAAGGAGUUUUAGUGUCAAACCGAGCAACCAGCUCCUUUCCCUGAAGAUAUUUUGGGGUCAAAAAUGAAUUGGUGAGUGUACCAAUAACCUUGCCACUUAGCGUUAGGUCCAAAAUUAUUGCCACUGUUGAUAAAGAUGACCAAAAAAUACUAAAAUAAAUAUGACAAAUAAUGAGCUAUAUUGUAUGUGAAAAAAAAUGUGUGACGAAUAUAUUAUGUUAUACAAAUACAUUUGCUCAGAGAAAGAGAUUGUUUAAUAAGUAAUAUACUUUUUUUUUUUAAGAUAGGGGUCAAAAUUAUUUCCAAGUCUGUUUUCAAUACCUUUCAAAAUCUCACCUUGCGAGGAUAAUGGCCUUUUUCUAAAAUGUUUUAUGAGAAUGGAGAACACACUGGGAGGUUUCUUAGACCACUCCUCCAUACAGAAUCUUUUCAGAACCUUGAUAUCCUUUGUCUGCUCUAAUGGACUGCCCUCUUCAAUUCAAGCCACAGGUUUUCAAUGGGGUUUAAGUACAGACUUGAUUUUGUGGUCAUUUAACCGUUGUGAAUGACAGGCACAUCGAUCUGCAUUGUUAAACAUGAAGGGGAUGGGACAUGGGGGGGAUGAGAUUAAAGACUCCUAAAUUGAUAGUGCAGUUUGUUUAGGCGACUGUACAGCUAACUAGCUGCUUUACAUGCUAAUAUUGUCUUUGGUAUUAUUGUAACCAGCUAUGUUUGCUAGCUAGCCAGCCAAUAAAGAGCUGCAACAGAUUCCCACAUUUUUUUUCCCAUGUUGCUGCCAACCUUAUUAUAAUACCAAAAUGAAACAUUUGUUCACAAAAAAUAUUAUUCUCAGUGUUAUUCAACACUUUAAAUUUAAAAGAAUGAGUGGUUUUGGGAGAAUCUUUCCUUGAUUCAGGACCCAAGCUAUCAGCCACAGCAGCCAACAGUUUUAAAUGAAGGGAAGUCCCUUCGUUGAUUACUUGGUUUGGUGCGUCAUUCCCGAAUUUACGAACAGACGCAGUCUUUUGGAGGAAAAUGUUCUCCCCCUCCACAGCUAACCUAAUGAUAGCUUCUCAGUCCGGUACCCGGGCAAUCUCCUGUGAUGUGCCCGGUGCCGGCCGGGGAUGACAUCAAUUUCCACACAGAAGGCCAAGUCAGGGAUUAGAUGACCCAUCCCUCGUCACACAUCUGAGGGAUUCAUUCAAGGUCUAGAGUGUGUCCUGGUGAGACACCGGCCCGGAAAAACAAGGGCCCAUUUCCUUCUCCCUGGAGCUGUCAACAGAGGCACAUAGCUGGCCCUCUUAGUCACAACCCACUGGGUACAAACUUUUGUUCAAAAUCUAGUUUUGAUUUACAUUUGGUUGAAUUGUCAACUAAACGUUAAAUUCACGUGAAAUCAAUAAAAAGGUUAAAAGUUGGGUGAAAAAAUAUGAAAUUCCUUUACAUUGAUUACUUUUUUCAAAUCUAAUCAGUUUUCCACCUUGAUUCAAUGUCAUCACAUUGCAUUUUUGGGUUGAAAUAAUGUGGAAACAAUGUUGAUUUACCCAGUUUUUGCCCAAUGGGAACUUGUUGAAAAAGGGGUUUAGUUAUGAAUAUCGGUCAAGUCCCUGAUGUUUUUCGAGUUGUUGUGAUGGCCCCUCUCUCUGGCAGGCUGAAUAAAGCCAGGCCCCAGGGCACUUAGUGCUCACCCCACGUGGGUCAGUUAAAUGAAACGUUUUCAUGUUCUCUCAAACCCAAUAAUAAUUACCUGGUCUUAAGUCAGUUGUCUGGAAGCUGUUGUCAAGGUUCUUUGGAGUAUGGACCAGCACGUAGACACUUUUUCUAUCCAUCAAGGUGCAGUCAUUGAUAAGUCAAAUGUUAAGGUUGCCAUUGUUCAAGAUAAAAACAAGGUACUGGACUGUUUCUCUGCCUGUCAUGUUUUAUGUAUUACAUAAGGCUCAACUUGAAACGUGUUUUCUUUUAUGAGAUAUGUCGACUUCUAUUAGGGACCAAUCCUUAAGAGUCUAUUGGACACACUGUCACAUCUGCUCCUGCUACGCCCUCUGGUGUUCAUCCGGUGUCUUCUUUACCUGCAGUUACUCCCCCAGUACACUCUCUCUCCCUCUCUGUGUGAUUGUGUGGUUGGAGACAGGUGUGCUGGCGUCAGAGAAAAUCCCUUCCAGCUGCAACUCGUUCCAUAAUCAAGACCUCUACAAAUACUCAGUCCUGCCACUUCCACUCUGCCAGAUUGUAAUCUCUGCUCAGUCAGCUAUUAUUCUAGCCAUUUAUUGUUACGCAAGAUCCUGUUGUGCCCGUUUCCCUGCCUGACACCUUUUAUACUCUCAUUGCAGUUACUGCUCUGUCUCUUGCUCCUGUCUACUGUUCCACAUCUCACCACCCAACUACCUUGUUCUCGAUUUUACUCACCAUCACUACCUUGGAUUCCCCUCAGGAUCUGUUUACCAAGUUCUACUCAGCCAACUCCAAACUCUGUCUCCACAUCUGGUUUUUCUGCAACUCAUCCGAGCUUCCCCGAAUCUGCACUCCAUAUCUCUCUGUGUAACAAUAAAUAUUUUGGUU
Long non-coding RNA from Oncorhynchus tshawytscha (Chinook salmon), 3373 nucleotides. RefSeq lists it as uncharacterized. The transcript is spliced from 3 exons. Lineage: Eukaryota; Metazoa; Chordata; Actinopteri; Salmoniformes; Salmonidae. The record is from RefSeq and is a predicted model, not a curated record.